UGUUUCGGCUAGGGGGCCAUCCCGGCUUACCAACCCGAUGCAAACUGCGAAUACCGGAGAAUGUUAUCACGGGAGACACACGGCGGGUGCUAACGUCCGUCGUGAAGAGGGAAACAACCCAGACCGCCAGCUAAGGUCCCAAAGUCAUGGUUAAGUGGGAAACGAUGUGGGAAGGCCCAGACAGCCAGGAUGUUGGCUUAGAAGCAGCCAUCAUUUAAAGAAAGCGUAAUAGCUCACUGGUCGAGUCGGCCUGCGCGGAAGAUGUAACGGGGCUAAACCAUGCACCGAAGCUGCGGCAGCGACGCUCAGGCGUUGUUGGGUAGGGGAGCGUUCUGUAAGCCUGUGAAGGUGGCCUGUGAGGGUUGCUGGAGGUAUCAGAAGUGCGAAUGCUGACAUAAGUAACGAUAAAGCGGGUGAAAAGCCCGCUCGCCGGAAGACCAAGGGUUCCUGUCCAACGUUAAUCGGGGCAGGGUGAGUCGACCCCUAAGGCGAGGCCGAAAGGCGUAGUCGAUGGGAAACGGGUUAAUAUUCCCGUACUUGGUGUUACUGCGAAGGGGGGACGGAGAAGGCUAUGUUGGCCGGGCGACGGUUGUCCCGGUUUAAGCGUGUAGGUGUGUGUUCCAGGUAAAUCCGGUUCACUUUAACACUGAGGCGUGACGACGAGGCACUACGGUGCUGAAGCAACAAAUGCCCUGCUUCCAGGAAAAGCCUCUAAGCAUCAGGUAACAUCAAAUCGUACCCCAAACCGACACAGGUGGUCAGGUAGAGAAUACCAAGGCGCUUGAGAGAACUCGGGUGAAGGAACUAGGCAAAAUGGUGCCGUAACUUCGGGAGAAGGCACGCUGACACGUAGGUGAAGUGAUUUACUCAUGGAGCUGAAGUCAGUCGAAGAUACCAGCUGGCUGCAACUGUUUAUUAAAAACACAGCACUGUGCAAACACGAAAGUGGACGUAUACGGUGUGACGCCUGCCCGGUGCCGGAAGGUUAAUUGAUGGGGUCAGCGCAAGCGAAGCUCCUGAUCGAAGCCCCGGUAAACGGCGGCCGUAACUAUAACGGUCCUAAGGUAGCGAAAUUCCUUGUCGGGUAAGUUCCGACCUGCACGAAUGGCGUAAUGAUGGCCAGGCUGUCUCCACCCGAGACUCAGUGAAAUUGAACUCGCUGUGAAGAUGCAGUGUACCCGCGGCAAGACGGAAAGACCCCGUGAACCUUUACUAUAGCUUGACACUGAACAUUGAGCCUUGAUGUGUAGGAUAGGUGGGAGGCUUUGAAGCGUGGACGCCAGUCUGCGUGGAGCCGACCUUGAAAUACCACCCUUUAAUGUUUGAUGUUCUAACGUGGACCCGUUACCCGGGUUGCGGACAGUGUCUGGUGGGUAGUUUGACUGGGGCGGUCUCCUCCUAAAGAGUAACGGAGGAGCACGAAGGUUGGCUAAUCCUGGUCGGACAUCAGGAGGUUAGUGCAAUGGCAUAAGCCAGCUUGACUGCGAGCGUGACGGCGCGAGCAGGUGCGAAAGCAGGUCAUAGUGAUCCGGUGGUUCUGAAUGGAAGGGCCAUCGCUCAACGGAUAAAAGGUACUCCGGGGAUAACAGGCUGAUACCGCCCAAGAGUUCAUAUCGACGGCGGUGUUUGGCACCUCGAUGUCGGCUCAUCACAUCCUGGGGCUGAAGUAGGUCCCAAGGGUAUGGCUGUUCGCCAUUUAAAGUGGUACGCGAGCUGGGUUUAGAACGUCGUGAGACAGUUCGGUCCCUAUCUGCCGUGGGCGCUGGAGAACUGAGGGGGGCUGCUCCUAGUACGAGAGGACCGGAGUGGACGCAUCACUGGUGUUCGGGUUGUCAUGCCAAUGGCACUGCCCGGUAGCUAAAUGCGGAAGAGAUAAGUGCUGAAAGCAUCUAAGCACGAAACUUGCCCCGAGAUGAGUUCUCCCUGAGACUUAGAGUCUCCU
Molecule: ribosomal RNA, 1942 nt
Filed under: Salmonella enterica subsp. enterica serovar Oslo
Lineage: Bacteria; Pseudomonadati; Pseudomonadota; Gammaproteobacteria; Enterobacterales; Enterobacteriaceae
Description: partial 23S ribosomal RNA
Rfam family: Bacterial large subunit ribosomal RNA
Source: RNAcentral